This 468-nucleotide ribosomal RNA is filed under the name uncultured bacterium. Its description in RNAcentral is "partial 16S ribosomal RNA". It matches the Rfam family "Bacterial small subunit ribosomal RNA", at positions 28 to 507 of the family's 1533-position model. The record is from RNAcentral.
GACGAACGCUGGCGGCGUGCUUAACACAUGCAAGUCGAACGGAAAGGCCCUGCUUUUGUGGGGUGCUCGAGUGGCGAACGGGUGAGUAACACGUGAGUAACCUGCCCUUGACUUUGGGAUAACUUCAGGAAACUGGGGCUAAUACCGGAUAGGAGCUCCUGCUGCAUGGUGGGGGUUGGAAAGUUUCGGCGGUUGGGGAUGGACUCGCGGCUUAUCAGCUUGUUGGUGGGGUAGUGGCUUACCAAGGCUUUGACGGGUAGCCGGCCUGAGAGGGUGACCGGCGACAUGGGGACUGAGAUACGGCCCAGUCUCCUACGGGAGGCAGCAGUGGGGAAUAUUGCACAAUGGGCGGAAGCCUGAUGCAGCAACGCCGCGUGCGGGAUGACGGCCUUCGGGUUGUAAACCGCUUUCGCCUGUGACGAAGCGUGAGUGACGGUAAUGGGUAAAGAAGCACCGGCUAACUACGUG